RNAcentral lists this long non-coding RNA (1209 nucleotides) under Anas zonorhyncha (Eastern spot-billed duck). Its description in RNAcentral is "lncRNA (ENSAZOG00000004916.1)". Lineage: Eukaryota; Metazoa; Chordata; Aves; Anseriformes; Anatidae. The record is from RNAcentral.
AUGUGUGUGUGUGUGCACAUGUGUGCACAUCCAUGCACUUUUUGUGCACCGUGUGUGCCUGUGUGCACGUGUGCUCCCAGCUGCUUGCCUUUGUUUCCACGUCCCCGUGUCCCCGUGUCCCCGUGUCCCCGUGUCCCCGUGCCGUUGGUCCCCGUGUGUGCACGCACACGUGCAGGUGUGUUUGUGCGUCCGGCGGCUGUUUGUAUACAGGUAGCAGCGUGUGUAUGUUGGCCUGGGGCUGCGUCCGUCGGCGCGCCUGGCUUGCCCCGGCUGCGCUUCCGCUGCCGUGCGUGUGUGCACGUGUGUGGUCCGUGUGCCGGGGGUGUGCAAGGAGCAGGCGUGCUGCAUGGGGCUGCGCAUGGGUGGUCCCUGCCAGGGGCGUUGGUGUGCGGGUGUGCUUGGGGGGGGCAUGGGCAGCGUGUGGGUGGGUGUGCACAUGUGUGUGGGUGCAGAUGUGUGCAAACGUGUGCAUGCAAGUGUGUGCCUGCAUGUAUGUGCACGUGUGUGUGCAACCUCGUGCGUGCAUGUGCGUGCGUGCACGUGAGUGAGCAUGGAUGUGCGUUCAUGGGUGUGCGCAUCCGUGUGUGUGCAUGCAAGUGUUUGUGCGUGCAUGCGUGUGUGUGCAUGCAAUUGUGUGCAUGCGUGUGUGUCUGCAUGUGUGUGCAUGCACUCACGUGUGUGCAAGGCCCUGAGGUUUUUUUAGGGCCAUGUCCCCAUGAAGGAAGCAGGGAGCCCCAGCCCACCAUUGGAGCCACCACUUGGAGCAGGGGGUCCCCAUGUCCCCCCCUGGCCAUGCGGCGUGUCCAUGNNNNNNNNNNGUGUGUGCAUGCACUCACGUGUGUGCAAGGCCCUGAGGUUUUUUUAGGGCCAUGUCCCCAUGAAGGAAGCAGGGAGCCCCAGCCCACCAUUGGAGCCACCACUUGGAGCAGGGGGUCCCCAUGUCCCCCCCGGCCAUGUGGCAUGUCCAUGUGUCCCCGUGUUCCCGUGUCCCUGUGUCCCCGUGUCCCCGUGUCCCCGUGUCCCCGCUGUCAGGACGGGGCCGUGCUGUUUACCCCAGCGGUGUGCAGAGCAGAGGAAGGUCACCUCACUCCUCCUCAGACUAUACACACCGGGGGCAGACGUCCUGCACGUCCCCGGGGGGGGUCAGGAGGUGACACACCGCAUGGUGGCACGUGGCCCUGGGUCUGGGACAUCCCCAUCAUCCCCUGA